Molecule: ribosomal RNA, 490 nt
Filed under: uncultured bacterium
Lineage: Bacteria
Description: partial 16S ribosomal RNA
Rfam family: Bacterial small subunit ribosomal RNA
Source: RNAcentral
AUUGAACGCUGGCGGCAGGCCUAACACAUGCAAGUCGAACGGUAACAGGAAGAAGCUUGCUUCUUUGCUGACGAGUGGCGGACGGGUGAGUAAUGUCUGGGAAACUGCCUGAUGGAGGGGGAUAACUACUGGAAACGGUAGCUAAUACCGCAUAACGUCGCAAGACCAAAGAGGGGGACCUUCGGGCCUCUUGCCAUCGGAUGUGCCCAGAUGGGAUUAGCUAGUAGGUGGGGUAACGGCUCACCUAGGCGACGAUCCCUAGCUGGUCUGAGAGGAUGACCAGCCACACUGGAACUGAGACACGGUCCAGACUCCUGCGGGAGGCAGCAGUGGGGAAUAUUGCACGAUGGGCGCAAGCCUGAUGCAGCCAUGCCGCGUGUAUGAAGAAGGCCUUCGGGUUGUAAAGUACUUUCAGCGGGGAGGAAGGGAGUAAAGUUAAUACCUUUGCUCAUUGACGUUACCCGCAGAAGAAGCACCGGCUAACUCCGUG